This 498-nucleotide ribosomal RNA is filed under the name uncultured bacterium. RNAcentral's name for it is "bacterial SSU rRNA". It matches the Rfam family "Bacterial small subunit ribosomal RNA", at positions 20 to 507 of the family's 1533-position model. The record is from RNAcentral.
UGGCUCAGAGUGAACGCUGGCGGCAGGCCUAAUACAUGCAAGUCGAACGGCAGCACAGCAGAGCUUGCUCUGUGGGUGGCGAGUGGCGGACGGGUGAGGAAUACGUGGGAAUCUGCCCAGUCGUGGGGGAUAACGUAGGGAAACUUACGCUAAUACCGCAUGCGCCCUUCGGGGGAAAGCCGGGGACCUUCGGGCCUGGCGCGAUUGGAUGAGCCCACGUCGGAUUAGCUAGUUGGCGGGGUAAAGGCCCACCAAGGCGACGAUCCGUAGCUGGUCUGAGAGGAUGAUCAGCCACACUGGAACUGAGACACGGUCCAGACUCCUACGGGAGGCAGCAGUAGGGAAUAUUGGACAAUGGGCGCAAGCCUGAUCCAGCCAUGCCGCGUGAGUGAAGAAGGCCCUCGGGUUGUAAAGCUCUUUUGUCCGGAAAGAAAAGCGCCGGGUUAAUACCCUGGUGUCCUGACGGUACCGGAAGAAUAAGCACCGGCUAACUUCGUG